GCCCGCAUAGCACAGUGGCAGUGCGUUCCUCUCGUAGUGACAGCUCUUUGGUCUUCCUCAGUCAACAGUCUCGAGCUCGUAAGGAAAGGUCAGUGGUUCAAUCCCGCUUGGGGGCA
Molecule: transfer RNA, 116 nt
Filed under: Trichosporon asahii var. asahii CBS 2479
Lineage: Eukaryota; Fungi; Basidiomycota; Tremellomycetes; Trichosporonales; Trichosporonaceae
Description: tRNA-Thr
Rfam family: tRNA
About the family: Transfer RNA (tRNA) molecules are approximately 80 nucleotides in length. Their secondary structure includes four short double-helical elements and three loops (D, anti-codon, and T loops). Further hydrogen bonds mediate the characteristic L-shaped molecular structure. tRNAs have two regions of fundamental functional importance: the anti-codon, which is responsible for specific mRNA codon recognition, and the 3' end, to which the tRNAs corresponding amino acid is attached (by aminoacyl-tRNA synthetases). tRNAs cope with the degeneracy of the genetic code in two manners: having more than one tRNA (with a specific anti-codon) for a particular amino acid; and 'wobble' base-pairing, i.e. permitting non-standard base-pairing at the 3rd anti-codon position.
Source: RNAcentral